GAGACAGGUGCUGCAUGGCUGUCGUCAGCUCGUGUCGUGAGAUGUUGGGUUAAGUCCCGCAACGAGCGCAACCCUUGUCGUAUGUUGCCAGCAAGUAAUGUUGGGCACUCAUACGAGACCGCCGGUGAUAAGCCGGAGGAAGGUGGGGACGACGUCAAGUCAUCAUGGCCCUUACGCGUAGGGCUACAAACGUGCUACAAUGGCAGUGACAGUGGGCCGCAACACAGCAAUGUGAAGCUAAUCCCCAAAAGCUGUCUCAGUUCAGAUUGUCCUCUGCAACUCGAGGGCAUGAAGCUGGAAUCGCUAGUAAUCGUGAAUCAGCAUGUCACGGUGAAUACGUUCCCGGGUCUUGUACACACCG
This 361-nucleotide ribosomal RNA is filed under the name uncultured soil bacterium. RNAcentral's name for it is "bacterial SSU rRNA". It matches the Rfam family "Bacterial small subunit ribosomal RNA", at positions 1031 to 1392 of the family's 1533-position model. The record is from RNAcentral.